Long non-coding RNA from Mustela erminea (ermine), 3803 nucleotides. RefSeq lists it as uncharacterized. The transcript is spliced from 3 exons. Lineage: Eukaryota; Metazoa; Chordata; Mammalia; Carnivora; Mustelidae. The record is from RefSeq and is a predicted model, not a curated record.
UCCAGGUACUGUGGAUGGAUCCCAAAAUGAUACAAGUGACAAGGGACUUUGAAGGUGUGGAAGUGAAAUAAGACAUUUAUUACGGUAUGUUUUUCAAGUUCACAUCAACACAUUAAUGGUAAACCUAUCAAUGGUAGUUAACAUUGGACAUUGUUGUAUGGAGGUGGGUGAUGCUUGGACCUACAGAUAUUUAAUAUCUGUUUAGUAGUCAGAUAUUAAUUGAUAUUAAAUCAUAUUUAAUAAUCAGAUAUUUACAUAGGUGAUGUGUUUCUCACGUUUCUUAUUAUCAUGACUCUUUUGCACGUAGUCAGGUAAGAAAUCAUAGAAACCUUAUAAAUUCUAGCGACCAUAUUAUCCUACUGUUUUACAUGUUAGAAAAAAUUAUGUUUGACCAUGUGAUUGUUGAGCAAUUUACAGAUAUCCACAUAAUUACGACUGAGCUGUGAGUUACAGGAAUAACCUUGGUAUUUUUCAGGAGAGCAGUCAAGAGAUGAUGACGUCUCUAACAAUGGCACCUAUCUUAGGGUACUUCAAGGUUCCAGGGAGAGCUGAUGAGUUCUGCGGUGAUGGCAGUGAACAAGGCUUUUUUGGGGGUCCAGCUGUAGAAAGUGUGACUGUAGAUGUAUUUGCCACAAAGUGUUUUCCAGGUUCCUGUCAAGAGAUCACAGUGAACCUCCUAAUGAUCAUUAAAGGGACAUUGCUUGAAUCAGGUAAGCGCUGCUCUGUGCCCCAAGCUCCCUACAGACCACCUGAUCUUCAGAUCUUAGAGUCAGUGGGGUUCUUAACAUUUGUGUUACCAUGGUGGGUUUGUUUUUUUUUCUUUUGCGAUUACUCAGUUAUGUUUUCCCAACAUAAUAAGUCUUGCCCAACAUAACCAAUAAGUCUUUAUUAUUUUAGAGUUUAGAUAUACUGUAUAUUUAACCUUAGUAGCCACUGAGGGAUAGGUGGGUGUCCCAGUAACUUACUCCUCUGUUCCACACCAUGGUACUUACAAUGAGAUUUCUCUAGGUAGUCAGGAAAGAGACGACGGUUUCUCUAACUCUGGUGUUUACCUUUAACCUCUGCGAGGAUCCCAGGAGUCUUGGUGGUUCCUGCAGCGAUGGAGGUUCCAGCAGUCAUGAGAUCACAGUGAACCUGACAAUGGUCCUUAACAGGACCUUACCGGUAACCAAGUAAGUGAAAAAGUCGGUCUUAGCUCAAUACAGACCAUCUGAUCUUCAGAUAUCUGAGUGAUUGAGUGUGGUUUCCGAGACACCAUGUCACCUAGUGGUUUCGCAAUUGUCCCCGUGAAGGCCUUUCCUGGUACACAGGUAUGAGAACAUGCGGCAUUACCGCCUUAGAGAGCUGCUUGAUUUUCAUAUGUGAAUGUGGCUUUCAACACUAAGGUAACUGUGAUUUUGACAUCUUUGCAGCUCAGAAAUUGACCCAACUAGUGCUAGUAAGUAUGAGACUUUACUGGUUUCUUGUUCCAAGAUUGUAUGUUUCCUACAGCCCGGGGGGUUGGAAGGCAGAGACCUGCUCAUUCCUCAUACUGUCCCUCACCACGUGACUGCCCAGGGCCGUUUUGCAGGUAGCCCUUCAGGAGAGGAAGGUAUCUCUCAUUAGGAUAAAACGUCAGUGUCCUGCAGGUAUCCAGGUAACACUGAUGAACUGCAGAUGAUACAGUUGACUGAGGAAUUUGCUGGUGUCCCACUAGAAUGAGCCGUGGACCAAGCACAUUUUCCACUAUUUUUUCCCAGGUUCAUGUGAAGACCUCACUAUGAGCCUGUCGCUGGUAGUUAAUGUCGUACUCAUGUCAGAUGCUGGAGUACGUGAUGACGUGGGUCUACACCAUGGCACAGGUCACAUGAUCUUCAUACACAGAGGUGAGUGAUUACAGUGGCUCUAACACCUGGGUUAGCAUACAUUUUUGCAGCUCUCCCUCUCGGGCCUUGACAGUACACCGUGUAUGCGUGCUGUAGCAUGAACUCAUUAUAGACGUCCUUGCGCCAGACUCCUACUUCCCCCAUUUUGGGCAAGUACAAGUUCCAUUAAUUGGACCCUCCUAGUACUAGCCAAGUAGGAGUUUUUAUUGUUCUCUUGUACGGUGAUAAAGUGUAUUUCUCACUCACAGUGGCAGACAAAUGGUAAACAUCCAGGUUCUUUAUUAUAUUGUUGUAACUGCAUUAUUACUGUGGGAUAUUUGCAGGUGUGCCUCCAAGAGAGGAAGGUAAACCUUACUGGAGUUUAACCUCAGUGUUCUGGGAGUGUCCAGGUAAUGUUCAUGGGUUCCCAAAUGGUACAGGUGACAAGGGGAUUUGCAAGUGCACAGGGAGAAGAACGAGAUGUGUACCAAACACAUAAACCACAACACGUUUUCCAGCACAUGUGGAGAGAUCCCCUGAGCCUAGCCAUAGCCAUGAAUGGGGCUGGGGGACAUUGCUCGUAUCGAGGUAAGUGAUACACUAGACUGAAACCACAAAUGUUUAGGUAAGUUGGUAACAUGUGCUGACACUUCUUAUUAUCAUGAUUUUGUUGCAGGGAUUCAGGUAAGAAAUAAAAACCCUUACCAAUUCUAGAGACUAUACAUUUUUACUUUUUACAUUUUAGAUAAAAUUUAUGUUAAUUAAUACCAUAUAUGUUAAGAGAUCAUAGGUAUGUAGGUAUUUGUCAUGGUUUUCCCUGCCACAGUACUACCCAUAUGAUUUUUUACAGGUGUGCAGUCAAGAAAUGAUGGUUUUCUGACAUUGGUGUUGACCUGGGAGUACUAUUCCUGUCAAGAGAUCAUAGUGAACCUAAUACGGGUCAUUAAUGGGGGCAGGGAUGUUGCUGGUAUGCAGGUAAGGGAAGCUGUGGGCCUAAACCACGGGAAAGGCCAUCCAAUCUCCAGAGAAUUUGGUAAGUAUUGGCAGUGGCCCGAACAUUGAUACCAUGAUUUCUUCAGGGGCAUUCAGGUAAGAAAUGGUAUAGAUCCCUUGCCCAUAUAGAAACCAUGUAUUUUCAUUUUCUAUGUUUUAAAGACAAUUUUUGUUUAUCUCUGAGUGUUAGAGUAGUAUCAUAGCUAGGCAAUUAAGAUGAUGUUUCCUACCACAGUAGUGACCAUGGGAAUUUUGCCAGUGUCCUGUUAGGAAAUGUUGUCUCACCUGACUGUGAUCUUGACCUUGGAGUAUACAAAGAUUCUGGUAUAGUUAAUGUUUUUCAAUGAUGAAAAUGAUAAAGACUUUUAGGAGAUGUCCUGGUAGAACAAGUUGUAUUCUUUUAUACAUAUAUCAUAAUGUGUUUUUCAGGUUCAUGUGCUAAGCUCAUGAUGAACCUAAUGGUUAUUAACAGGUGACAGUUCUGGUAUCCAGGUAAGAGAUGGUACACACCUUCAUCACAUCACAGAACAGCCAGUCGUCACAUACUGACAUAAGUGAUGUUCAUUCUUGUUUGACCAUGGGCUUUUCUUUUUCUUUUUGCUAGGUUUUCAGGUAAGAAAUGAUCAUGUUUGACCAGUUGUAGAAACCGUGUUAUCCUACUGCUUUAUAUUUUAGAAAAAAAAAGUUGUUUAACCAUGUGAGUAUUGAGCAGUUUGCAAAUAUCUAUGUAAUUACUGUUAGUAGUGUGGUUUGGGUUUAUUUUUGUUGUUUGUGUGUGUGUGUGUGUGUGUGUGUGUGUGUGUGUGUUUGCUUUCUUACAGGUGAACAUUCAAGAGGUGAUGGCAUUUCUGACAGCGAGGUAGGCCUGUCUGUGAUUCUAGGUAGAUUGAAUGAGUCAUGGGAUGCCUGGAUGGUUGAGUCAUUUAAGCAUCUGCUUUUGCCUUCAGGUCAUGAUCCCAGGGUCCU